AAUGGCCGAAAGGGCUGACCCAGCAACACCGCGUGAGUGAAGAUGGCCUUCGGGUUGUAAAGCUCUGUUGCCCGUGAAGAACGGUGCAGGCAGGAAAUGGUCUGUACUUGACGGUAGCGGGAGAGGAAGCUCCGGCUAACUACGUGCCAGCAGCCGCGGUAAUACGUAGGGAGCGAGCGUUGUCCGGAUUUAUUGGGCGUAAAGGGCGUGUAGGCGGCCUGUUAAGUCUGAAGUGAAAAUCCAGGGCUCAACCCUGGAACUGCUUCGGAUACUGAUGGGCUUGAGUGCUCUAGAGGGUAGUGGAAUUGCCGGUGUAGCAGUGAAAUGCGUAGAGAUCGGCAGGAACACCAGUGGCGAAGGCGACUGCCUGGGGAGUAACUGACGCUGAGGCGCGAAAGCUGGGGGAGCAAACGGGAUUAGAUACCCCGGUAGUCCCAGCCGUAAACGAUGAGUGCUAGGUGUAGCGGGUAUCGACCCCCGCUGUGCCGCAGUUAACGCAUUAAGCACUCCGCCUGGGGAGUACG
RNAcentral lists this ribosomal RNA (524 nucleotides) under uncultured bacterium. Its description in RNAcentral is "bacterial SSU rRNA". It matches the Rfam family "Bacterial small subunit ribosomal RNA", at positions 370 to 884 of the family's 1533-position model. The record is from RNAcentral.